Molecule: long non-coding RNA, 1780 nt
Filed under: Homo sapiens (human)
Lineage: Eukaryota; Metazoa; Chordata; Mammalia; Primates; Hominidae
Description: HSALNT0327067
Source: RNAcentral
UUUAUAAGCUGUGUAAUAACGUUGGACAAAUUACUUAACCUCUGUGAAACUCAGUUUUCUCUUUUAUUUUAUUUUACUUUAUUUUAUUUUUUUUAGACGAGUCUCGCUCUGUCACCCAGGCUGGAGUGCAGUGGCGUGAUCUCGGCUCACUGCAACCUCUGCCUCCCGGGUUCAAGCAAUUCUCUGCCUCAGCCUCCCGAGUGGCUGGGAUUACAGGCGCCCGCCACCACGCCCAGCUAUUUUUUUUGUAUUUUUAGUAGAGACGGGGUUUCAGCAUCUUGGCCAGGCUGGUCUUGAACUCUUGACCUGGUGAUCCACCCGCCUCAGCCUCCCAAAGUGCUGGGAUUACAGGCGUGAGUCACCGCGCCCGGCCGAGUUUUCUCUUUUAUUAAAAAAAGAAAAUCAACAACAAAGUUUUGCAGGAUUGUAGUGAGUGAAUAUAAAGUAUGUGAUUCGGUAUCCGGAACAUAAAAGUUCUCAGGAAAUCACGAUUAAUAAUAAACAGUAACAAAUAAUGAUCCGUCCAAACCAAGAGAAGAUAAUCUCCUUUGGCUGUAAGAAAAUAUGACUUAAACAGCUCUUUCCUUCAAGUCCUCCUUCCCACUUUAACAGGCCACACUGUACUGAGCAUCUAGAAGGCUCUCUGCCAACAGCAGCGCCGGUUUGUUAUCUAAGUGAGUCUUGGUCAUUAAGCAAAGUCAGGGUCUUUGUUAUUGGUUUCAUCCCCACUGGCCUUGCAGAGAAAGCCCAAGCCACAGGGUACAUCUCUGCCUGCCAAUGCCCUGUAUUCCUGAAACAAAAAGGCAAUAAAAAACACGACAGUUAGUGUCAGACACGGAGCCCGGGCUUGGGAGCGGGCGGGGAGGGCUCCCUUUUCUCCUUGUUCCGCAGCACCUGUCACGGAGACGGGAGAUGGGGGCCUGGCCCGGGAUGGGCAGCCCUGCUUCCUCCUGCCCCCGCCGCGCUCCCUCCCGAGCUGCUCCGGCCCCGGCUCCCAGCAACGCGGCGGCGGCCCGCUCUGCGACUAGAAAGCGCCCAUUGAGGGCUUGCAGCUGCCAGUGCCGCUUGCCCAAAUCCGACAUAAAGCCUCGACUUCAGCUCCAGUGAAGAAGACACUACUGUGUUCUUCCUGAGCCCCAGUCAUGGCUAUAAAACAUUAAAAGCAAACUGGCGAUUGUUAAACACUGCAUUUGUUUACACCCCGAAUCUUGAAUCACAAUGGGGCAGCUUGGGCUGCCCAGGCCCGGCGAGGCCGGGCUUUCUCCUAGACACUGAAGUCUGUUCUCCGACCCAAGGGACACAAGAAAAGCUGGAGUAAAGUGGCAUGAUCUCGGCUCACUGCAGCCUCCGCCCCCGCCAGGUUCAAGUGAUUCUCCUGCCUCAGCCUCCCGAGUAGCUGGGAUUACAGGCGCAGGCCACCAUGCCCAGAAAGAACAUGCUCAGAAGCCCAGUCAGCAGCAGGAAGGAGUGUGGUGAUUUUGAGGAACCGAAAGAAGACCAGCAUGGCUGGAGAACAGAGGAUGGGGGUGUGAUAUGUGACGAGCGAAGAGAAGUCACCCGUACUUCAUUUACCAGUCCUUGCUAAGGAUUAUUCAUUAAAACACACAACAGCAACAAUAACCACAAAAGCAACAAUAAAAAUACCUUUGAACUCACUCAAUCUUGAACUAUUGAACAUGCUAAGUCCGUGUCAUUGGCCUACUUAAUCAGCCCUCGAUUGUAACUUGAAGAAGCUUAUUGAUAAGAAAAUAAACUUCUCAUAAAGUAUAACUACUUUCUU